This 427-nucleotide ribosomal RNA is filed under the name uncultured bacterium. RNAcentral describes it as "bacterial SSU rRNA". It matches the Rfam family "Bacterial small subunit ribosomal RNA", at positions 355 to 774 of the family's 1533-position model. The record is from RNAcentral.
UGGGGAAUUUUGGACAAUGGACGCAAGUCUGAUCCAGCCAUGCCGCGUGCGGGAAGAAGGCCUUCGGGUUGUAAACCGCUUUUGUCAGGGAAGAAACGAGUUUCUCUAAUACAGAGACUUAAUGACGGUACCUGAAGAAUAAGCACCGGCUAACUUCGUGCCAGCAGCCGCGGUAAUACGAGGGGUGCAAGCGUUACUCGGAAUUACUGGGCGUAAAGCGUGCGUAGGUGGUUGGUUAAGUCUGCUGUGAAAGCCCUGGGCUCAACCUGGGACCUGCAUUUGUGACUGUAUAGCUAGAGUACGGUAGAGGGGGAUGGAAUUCCGCGUGUAGCAGUGAAAUGCGUAGAUAUGCGGAGGAACACCGAUGGCGAAGGCAAUCCCCUGGACCUGUACCGACGCUCAUGCACGAAAGCGUGGGGAGCAAACA